RNAcentral lists this ribosomal RNA (321 nucleotides) under uncultured eukaryote. RNAcentral describes it as "partial 18S ribosomal RNA". It matches the Rfam family "Eukaryotic small subunit ribosomal RNA", at positions 1470 to 1796 of the family's 1831-position model. The record is from RNAcentral.
CCCUUAGAUGUUCUGGGCCGCACGCGCGCUACACUGAUGCAUUCAACGAGCACCCGCUGGGCCGAGAGGUCCGGCUAAUCUUUGAACGUGCAUCGUGCUGGGGAUAGAUGAUUGCAAUUAUUCAUCUUCAACGAGGAAUUCCUAGUAAACGCAAGUCAUCAGCUUGCAUUGAUUACGUCCCUGCCCUUUGUACACACCGCCCGUCGCUCCUACCGAUUGGAUGAUCCGGUGAGCUAUUCGGACCUUCGCUUCGUCGAUUUUCGGCUUUGUGAGGGAAAGUCUCGCGAACCUUAUCAUCUAGAGGAAGGAGAAGUCGUAACA